UAUGAAACUUUGAAACAAUUUUUUUCUCGUAGCUGUCCACUUCUCGUUGUUACAUAUAAUUUUCUUCCUCAACUUAACACUUUUCACGUACAGAACGUGACACCAGGUGGAAAUUCCCAAGAGAGAAAUAAGUUUGAACGAUGCCUGGGUCUCCGAGACUCCGUGGCUGAAGUUUCUGAGUAAUACGCCUCUGAGUUGAGUCAAGAUAAGUUGAUGGAGAUCCAGAGAAUGAGAUGGCGUUGGGUAAGAUAUUUACACUGAGAGGAAACUUUCGUAGAUUUUACGUAAUAUAUCUUGUUAGGUGCGUAUGCUUUCGUAUCCAACGCGUUUUAAUUCUUCAUUUUCACAGUGAGUUACCAAGAGGAUAUAGAGAAUGAAAUAUUCCUUUGAAAAUGGGUCAUUAUACCAUUAAAAAUAUCCUAUUACGUACGAUUCCAUUGGUAUUGUUUACAAUACGUUUUCAGAUCAACAGGACACGAUACAUUAAAAUAACCAUAAACAUUCGAUGAAAUAUUCAGGGUAUAUGAGCCAAUAUACGAUGGAUUCAAAGCCUCAUUUGAUCGGAGCUCAUGAGGUUAAUGUUUGGAGUCCUCGGAAUCAAGGAUUGAAGCAUGCAAUUUACAUCAAUGCGGCAUUCCGUUGGCACUAUUCAACAACACCGAGUAAUUGAGUCAUAAAAUAAUCCUUCAAUGAUAUAUUCAAUUUCCGAAGUAGAAAAUGACGGAGCAACUUCUUAUCCUUCAAUCUAAAUAUACAAGUGAAGUUUAAUGCCAAUUUCCCAAGCAUGAAAUUACAGAAUAACUUCUUGUCCCUCAAUCUAAAUUUAAGAGUGAAGUUUAAUGCUUGAGGAAUUAUCAUCAUCAGGCACAUGUUGGCAGCUGUUUAUAGCGUACAUUGCGAUAUAUCAGACGUAAUAUUUCCAGUUAGUGCAUCAAUUAGUGGUCACUUAAAAAUAUCUUUAUUGCCUGGGAUAUCCACAUCAUUGUAUUUACACCCCGCGGAGGUCUGGGGGAAUAUAAGGACUUCCUUACAACGGGGUGCUUCAGUAUGGAAGUAAACUAGUCUGGAUAUUUCACUGAAAUGUUCCCACAACAUCAGUAAAGAUCAUAAUGAAUCAUCCAAAAUUAGCGACAAUAGUUAGGACUAAUUUUGUUCUCAAGCUUGGUCCAAUCUACCCAACAAUAUUAAGCAGUUUUUGCGAAAUCGCUUUUUAUAAAUCAUUUGUUUUUGAAAAAUGUUUUGAUAUUGGACGAAACUCAUGAUGAUUCCAUUACAUAAUGUAAUAUAAUUAUAUUAUACUUUAAAAUAUUUUAUUUCCCAGAAUACAAUUUUUAUCAAAGCCGUCAAAAUUCAAUAGGACAUCGGCAAUUAGUCGACGAAUUGUCGACUGGAUUAUCAUAGACAUAAAUAUUUGUAUAACAUCAUUCAAAGUUCACAAUCAAAAAGAUUUUUUUCAACUAUAACAUUUUUCCAUCCAUCAUUAAUUUCACAUUAAUAAUGAGGUUUUUCAAAUACAGCAAUUAGCAGUGCAAUGCAACAGUCGACACUACAACCACUAGAAUAAUCUUUUUUCGGAAGGUGUUUGUCUUUGAGUCGCUUCUCGAAAUCUUCUCUGUAAGGUUUUUGAAGAUCAGCUGGUAGCCGCAUGACAAAUGGAUUAACAGACAUCACCAAAUCUGAAAUUAAAAGACACUCCAGUUCCUGGUACAUUCAUUUAUCCAUCGUGGCGAUAUUAUUCUCUUCCUCGAUUGAGAGUUUAUUACUUCGAAUCUUACCAAUCAGAGCCUCCAUCCUUGGAAUAUCUUCAGCAUCCGGAUGCCCGUGUUGCGGAGAGCGUACCUGCAUAUAUGCUGAAAAUCUUGGAUCUUCACGUUGUUCGGAGUAGACAUCGAAUAUCAUAUGAUGAGAGAUUGUCAAAAUAAUGGCUUUACCCCCUGGACGAAGAAGUUGGUAAAAAUUUCUCAACGCGCCCUUCGUGUUUCUACACCAAUGAAGACAAUAGAACGACGUGGCAUUAUCAAAUUUUUCAAUCAAGUUAUUAGGCAAUUCGGGUGUUUGAAUAUCUAAUUGCAUGUACGACAGUUUAUUUGUCACAGAGUAAUUUUGCUCUGCAUAGGCAACCAUGUAAGGGCAUAGGUCAGCACCUGGAAAAAGGGGUAACAAAUGACUUUAUUAAUAUGUGGAGGUCGGUUAAGGGAUCAACCUCUGGUAUAAUUUGGUAAUUAUUACCGACAAUAGUAGCAUUUUCCCCCACAGCUGGAAGUAGUACACCCUUUGUAAUAUUUCCAGGUCCGCAUCCGAUGUCAAUAAUGCGGCCCUUCAUUUUUUUGAACACCUCGGGGAACUCUUCAACCAGAUCUUCUAUAUCACGGUACUGGAGGCUGUUUGAGUCGUCAUAUUCCUUCGGUUGAUUCAUGAUCAGAUCUUUCACGUGUCAACGGAAUAAUUUAUUGACGUAGCGAAGUGACCGCGUGAUUAAACUGUGUACUUCAAUCAUUGAUUCUAAGGGCUUUAAACAUGCACCUCAUCCUUCGAACAAAUGAAGGUUCGAAUCUAUCGCAUAUUGAUUCUUAUUUUCUGAAACUUUCAUCCAAUUUUAAUAGUUAUUUGAAUGCAUCGCCUUUCGUUGGUCUGAAAACUUAUUGUAGACGAUAUCAAUGGAAUCACAUGUAAUAAGAUAUUUUUAAUGGAAUACUGACUUACUUUCAAAGGAAUAUUUCAUUAUCUACGUUCUA
This is a long non-coding RNA of Diachasmimorpha longicaudata, 2735 nucleotides long. RefSeq lists it as uncharacterized. The transcript is spliced from 5 exons. The record is from RefSeq and is a predicted model, not a curated record. NCBI's taxonomy places the organism in Eukaryota, Metazoa, Arthropoda, Insecta, Hymenoptera, Braconidae.